This 1958-nucleotide long non-coding RNA is filed under the name Salmo salar (Atlantic salmon). Its description in RNAcentral is "lncRNA (ENSSSAG00000091156.1)". Lineage: Eukaryota; Metazoa; Chordata; Actinopteri; Salmoniformes; Salmonidae. The record is from RNAcentral.
GUUACUGUAGGCCUGCAUUGAACCCCACCUAUAGGUUAUAUCAUAGAAAUCAAAAGCAAUUUCCAUGUGAAAAUGUUCUGGGAUUUUCUCUAUUGGUAGGCCACUCUGAUAGGACUACAUUAUGCCAAAUAGCCUAUUGGCUACUGUCUAAAAGUGAUGGUACAGCCUAUUGGCUACUGUCUAAAAGUGAUGGUACAGCCUAUUGGCUACUGUCUAAAAGUGAUGGUACAGCCUAUUGGCUACUGUCUAAAAGUAAUGGUACAGCCUAUUGGCUACUGUCUAAAAGUGAUGGUACAGCCUAUUGGCUACUGUCUAAAAGUGAUGAUACAGCCUAUUGGCUACUGUCUAAAAGUGAUGGUACAGCCUAUUGGCUACUGUCUAAAAGUGAUGGUACAGCCUCAGUGUUCACCAAACGCCCGCCGGAAGUUGCACAAAAAGUUAAAGUUUCUGCUCACAAGACCUGACUUUUGCUCGGUGCUCCAAAAAAAUGACAGGGAACAUUGGACAUGACCCCAGUGGGAUUUAAACAGGGAACAUUGGACAUGACCCCAGUGGGAUUUAAACAGGGAACAUUGGACAUGACCCCAGUGGGAUUUAAACUCAAAACCCUGGCUGGAAUGCAACCAUAAAGUGUGUCCAGGAAAGCCAGAAAGAAACUCCAUGUGCUGCUAAACCUCGACCUACACCUAGAACCAGGCAGAUACUUACUCCUGGUGCUCGCAGUAGUCCCAGUCGUGUCUCUCGUGUUUACAGGCCAGGAAGUUGGGCCAGUUGUCCCUCUUACACUUCAUGAGCUUGAUGAGGUGGUGGGCGCAGUAGUCUCUCUGGAGUACAGGUACCUGGGCCAGGUUCAUCUGGGCCUGGGUGGCCACCAUCUCUACCAGGGGGACAAGACAACAUGUUACACCAGGGGUUAAUGGGGGAGGCCAGCAUCUCUACUAGGGGAACAAGAUAACAUGUUACACCAGGGGUUAAUGGGGGGAGGCCACCAUCUCUACCAGGGGGACAAGAUAACAUGUUACACCAGGGGUUAAUGGGGGAGGCCACCAUCUCUACCAGGGGGACAAGAAACAUGUUACACCAGGAGUUAAUGGGGGAGGCCACCAUCUCUACCAGGGGGACAAGAAACAUGUUACACCAGGGGUUAAUGGGUGAGGCCAUCAUCUCUACUAGGGGACACACACACAAAAUAAAAACUGUCAACAAAGAAUGGACUAGGCUAUGUCCUGAGAUGUGUAUAAGUGAAGCCUUGCAUUUUCCGUAAUGCAUUAUAUAUACAUGCGACGAAUGUGUGUACUGUUGGCAAGCAACUACUCUUUCACAGAGUAAGGAAAGGAGACGAGGAGAGGAAGAAAUUGAAUUAUUGAGAUGCACCUGGGAUUUAUGACUAUGAAUUUGACAGGACGGGAAUAUCUGUUCAAAACCAUAUUGCUGUCUGAACUGACAGUUUUAUUAAUUAAAAUAUAAACACUUUACACGAAUGGAAAGGGGGCGAAAUACUCAAGUUACAUUUCAUAGGGAACAUAUCAUGCUAGCUAAAUUUGGGUAACGUUAGCUAGCCACUACUAGUUGCAGUUAGUUUGCUAGCGGACUUUACUUUCCAUGGACAUGACAAGAAACAUGUCAAGAGCCCACCAGCAGACACGUUGCAAACAUACGGUCACAUGUUCGGACCAAAACAGACUCAACAACACAAACCUCUCUCUUUCCUCUCAUCGAAGCCGAAUUCGGGGUCAAAGCCAAAUGGUUUCGCAGGGUCAGGCUCGGUCUCCCUCUCGGUGAUAUACCGCCGCGCGAGGUGAGCUCCCAUGGUGCUAACGGUAUGUUUUUCAAAAUGAAAAUAAAAGAAUCGGUGUUUCCUAAGACUCUGGGAGACAACUAACUCAAGAUUGACAGAAUAAAUCUGCCAUUCGGUCACCUCCACAAGACCCAACGAGCUACUUCCUUUCUGCAACGGA